RNAcentral lists this ribosomal RNA (119 nucleotides) under Pteropus alecto (black flying fox). The record is from RNAcentral. Lineage: Eukaryota; Metazoa; Chordata; Mammalia; Chiroptera; Pteropodidae.
GUCUAUGGCUAUGCCACCCUGAACAAGCCCGAUCCCAUCUGAUCUUGGAAGCUAAGCAGGGUCGAGCCUGGUUAGUACUUGGAUGGGAGACCACCUAUGAAGACCAGGUGUUGUAGGUG